GAUGAACGCUGGCGGCGUGCCUAAUACAUGCAAGUCGAGCGAACAGACGAGGAGCUUGCUCCUCUGACGUUAGCGGCGGACGGGUGAGUAACACGUGGAUAACCUACCUAUAAGACGGGGAUAACUUCGGGAAACCGGAGCUAAUACCGGAUAAUAUAUUGAACCGCAUGGUUCAAUAGUGAAAGACGGUUUUGCUGUCACUUAUAGAUGGAUCCGCGCCGCAUUAGCUAGUUGGUAGGGUAACGGCUUACCAAGGCAACGAUGCGUAGCCGACCUGAGAGGGGGGUCGGCCACCCGGGAACUGAGACGGGGUCCAGACUACUACGGGAGGCAGCAGUAGGGAAUCUUCCGCAAUGGGCGAAAGCCUGACGGAGCAGCGCCGCGUGAGUGAUGAAGGUCUUCGGAUCGUAAAACUCUGUUAUUAGGGAAGAACAAAUGUGUAAGUAAAUAUGCACGUCUUGACGGUACCUGAUCAGAAAGCCACGGCUAACUACGUG
This 497-nucleotide ribosomal RNA is filed under the name uncultured bacterium. Its description in RNAcentral is "partial 16S ribosomal RNA". It matches the Rfam family "Bacterial small subunit ribosomal RNA", at positions 28 to 507 of the family's 1533-position model. The record is from RNAcentral.